AUAAUUAUCUUUGUUGUGUGUUUGUUUAAUUCAAAAGUUUAGUCGUUCAUACACCGACAAUAAAAUGUAAAACAUUUGUGUUAAUUAUUUACAGAACUUUGGAUGAUGGAUUGUUAAAAUAUGAAGCAAGAACGAAAAUGCCUACUGUACCGAUCCUGCCAAUCAUGGGAGUGGUUGUUCUGGUUAUGAUGAUCGUAGGGUUCAUUGUGUGCAAACUUCUUGGAUGGUGCUCUUCAAGAGCCGAGAUACCCAGUCAAGCAAACGGCUAUCAUGCAUCGAUCGACGUGCAUAUCGUAGUCGUGAACAAUAGACAUAUUUAUGAGAACGCAACUGCUCUUCCUGAAGGUCAUCAGAACAGCAAUGUAUCUCCGUCACAAAAUUGCACUGACCGAAGAUGUCAGGUUUGCACGAUUGGUGAAGAAGGAACUCGACUUACCAAACAGAUCGUCGAAAUGAAUCGUUUCCGUAUAAGUAGUACUGUAGAACUGAUCGAAGAUAACCAAGAGUUCUAGACAAACAUAUUGUUUCAAACGGCUCUGAAAGAGCAAAAUGUCGUUAUUAUAAUUACUCAAUGCAUAACUAAAUAGUGUUCGUAUGUAUGUGUGUUUACUUAAUAAUAUACGAUGGUAUCGAAUGAAACUAAA
Dreissena polymorpha is the source of this 644-nucleotide long non-coding RNA. RefSeq lists it as uncharacterized. The transcript has 3 exons. The record is from RefSeq and is a predicted model, not a curated record. Lineage: Eukaryota; Metazoa; Mollusca; Bivalvia; Myida; Dreissenidae.